AACGGUCUAUACCUGCGGUACCUGCGGAAGGAUCAUUCAGAAAUUCUGGCUAAAGCCGGCCAUCAGCUGGGAUCGAAAGGUCAAGUGUUUAACUCUGAACAAGUUGGCAACUGGUGAUCAGUUGGAGGGGGGGUGCACCCGGCCCCCCUCUCCCCACUAGUUGACGACUGUGAGGGCUGGGGUGCAGUUGUAGGGGUCGGUCACGGGGGCCCGCCAGGGCUCCUCACCCCAUCCCCCACA
This 240-nucleotide unclassified non-coding RNA is filed under the name soil metagenome. RNAcentral describes it as "partial contains 5.8S ribosomal RNA, internal transcribed spacer 2, and large subunit ribosomal RNA". The record is from RNAcentral.